AUGCCCACCAACAACAAACCAGUCCAGCGUCACCUGAGGACGUCACCAGACCGGAGGCUACGGUUCCUCGUGGCUGACGUGUUCAUGAUUACCAUGUGGAUACAAUUACCUGGUGGCCAUGGUUGGGAGCGGCAGGCCGUGAUCGAUAUGGAGGAGAAGCUGCGGUUGUUUGAACCCAACGUCCCUGUUGGCAGUAUGGUGAUUCAGUUCAAGCGUUCAGGGGAGAGGAACAACACGGUCAUGUUGCGGAUACAUGGCCAACGCUGCCUGCUCAUUGUCCUUGACUUGGAGACCAAGGAAAUACGUAGGCAACACCAGAACCCCUCCUUGCUAUUUGAGGUUGACUUGUCUGAGAGAUUACAGGGCAUGAAAAUCUUUUCCUAG
RNAcentral lists this ribosomal RNA (384 nucleotides) under Triticum aestivum (bread wheat). Its description in RNAcentral is "partial small subunit ribosomal RNA". Lineage: Eukaryota; Viridiplantae; Streptophyta; Magnoliopsida; Poales; Poaceae. The record is from RNAcentral.